ACUUAAGGGCUAGUUUUGUGGGCAAAAGCGUAAAGGGUGUGAUAGGCCGUUUUAAUUAAAAAGGGUUUUAUAAUUUAAGAAGGUAAAUGGAAUUUUUUUGUAGCGGUGGAAUGUGUAAAUAGAAAAAAGAACUUUAGACGUGAAGACUAUUUAUUUUUGAGAUUAUAGUGUGAUGGCUAAAACACGAGAGUAUGGGGAGCAAACAGGAUUAGGGACCCUGGUAGUCUAUACUGUAAAUAAUGAAAAAGAUGUGAAGCAAUCCUAAAAAGUCAGAAAUUUUCCGCUUGAGUAGUACGACCGCAAGGUUAAAAUUCAAAAAACUUGGCUGUUCACUGUUUUAAUUAGAGGAGCGUGUCGUUUAAUUCGAUAGUCCGCGAGAGACCUUACCCAAACUUGAAUCCUUCAUUGACAGGUAUUGCA
This 420-nucleotide ribosomal RNA is filed under the name Acropora sp. RNAcentral describes it as "partial small subunit ribosomal RNA". It matches the Rfam family "Bacterial small subunit ribosomal RNA", at positions 525 to 1005 of the family's 1533-position model. The record is from RNAcentral. Lineage: Eukaryota; Metazoa; Cnidaria; Anthozoa; Scleractinia; Acroporidae.